Molecule: ribosomal RNA, 497 nt
Filed under: uncultured bacterium
Lineage: Bacteria
Description: partial 16S ribosomal RNA
Rfam family: Bacterial small subunit ribosomal RNA
Source: RNAcentral
GAUGAACGCUGGCGGCGUGCCUAAUACAUGCAAGUCGAGCGAACGGACGAGAAGCUUGCUUCUCUGAUGUUAGCGGCGGACGGGUGAGUAACACGUGGAUAACCUACCUAUAAGACUGGGAUAACUUCGGGAAACCGGAGCUAAUACCGGAUAAUAUUUUGAACCGCAUGGUUCAAAAGUGAAAGACGGUCUUGCUGUCACUUAUAGAUGGAUCCGCGCUGCAUUAGCUAGUUGGUAAGGUAACGGCUUACCAAGGCAACGAUGCAUAGCCGACCUGAGAGGGUGAUCGGCCACACUAGAACUGAGACACGGUCCAGACUCCUACGGGAGGCAGCAGUAGGGAAUCUUCCGCAAUGGGCGAAAGCCUGACGGAGCAACGCCGCUUGAGUGAUGAAGGUCUUCGGAUCGUAAAACUCUGUUAUUAGGGAAGAACAUAUGUGUAAGUAACUGUGCACAUCUUGACGGUACCUAAUCAGAAAGCCACGGCUAACUACGUG